UCGCCUACGGGAGGCAGCAGUGAGGAAUAUUGGUCAAUGGCCGAGAGGCUGAACCAGCCAAGUCGCGUGAGGGAAGACGGCCCUACGGGUUGUAAACCUCUUUUGUCGGGGAGCAAAGCGAACCACGUGUGGUUCAUUGAGAGUACCCGAAGAAAAAGCAUCGGCUAACUCCGUGCGAGCAGCCGCGGUAAUACGGAGGAUGCGAGCGUUAUCCGGAUUUAUUGGGUUUAAAGGGUGCGCAGGCGGAGGUGCAAGUCAGCGGUCAAAUUGCGGGGCUCAACCCUGUCGAGCCGUUGAAACUGGCA
RNAcentral lists this ribosomal RNA (305 nucleotides) under uncultured bacterium. RNAcentral describes it as "bacterial SSU rRNA". It matches the Rfam family "Bacterial small subunit ribosomal RNA", at positions 335 to 637 of the family's 1533-position model. The record is from RNAcentral.